RNAcentral lists this ribosomal RNA (471 nucleotides) under uncultured bacterium. RNAcentral's name for it is "bacterial SSU rRNA". It matches the Rfam family "Bacterial small subunit ribosomal RNA", at positions 9 to 507 of the family's 1533-position model. The record is from RNAcentral.
GAGUUUGAUCCUGGCUCAGGAUGAACGCUGGCGGCGUGCCUAACACAUGCAAGUCGAGCGAUCUUCUUCGGAAGAGAGCGGCGGACGGGUGAGUAACGCGUGGGUAACCUGCCUCAUACACAUGGAUAACAUACCGAAAGGUAUGCUAAUACAAGAUGAUAUAAGAGAUUCGCAUGGAUUUCUUAUCAAAGCUCCGGCGGUAUGAGAUGGACCCGCGUCUGAUUAGCUAGUUGGUAAGGUAAUGGCUUACCAAGGCGACGAUCAGUAGCCGACCUGAGAGGGUGAUCGGCCACAUUGGAACUGAGACACGGUCCAAACUCCUACGGGAGGCAGCAGUGGGGAAUAUUGCACAAUGGGCGAAAGCCUGAUGCAGCAACGCCGCGUGAGCGAUGAAGGCCUUCGGGUCGUAAAGCUCUGUCCUCAAGGAAGAUAAUGACGGUACUUGAGGAGGAAGCCCCGGCUAACUACGUG